GGUCCUAUGGCCUAAUGGAUAAGGCGUCGGAUUUCGGAUCCGAGGAUUGCAGGUUCGAGUCCUGCUAGGGUCG
This is a non-coding RNA of Pristionchus pacificus, 73 nucleotides long. The record is from Rfam. Lineage: Eukaryota; Metazoa; Nematoda; Chromadorea; Rhabditida; Neodiplogasteridae.